CAGACUGCACUCCCGCCCUAUUUCUGCAAGUAGAAUUCACUGCCUUUAGAAACGGUCUUCUGAGGCUCUGUUGGGAGGCUCUAACUGUAUUACAGAGGACACAUUUUUGUUUGUUUUUAUGUGAAACAUUCAGAAGUUGCUUGCAUCAAGUGCUUUACAAGUACACUGGUUUUCAAACUUUUUAAGUUGAGGAACUGUUUUGAUUUUUGUAAAAAUAGAACUUUACUUGGAAGCCCAAGGUAGGCAGAUGCAGAUGGCGUUUUGAAUUUGCGAAUGUAUUCUAUAAAAUCACAUCUGUACUGAAGUACUAGAAAUAAUUGAGGAUAAGUCAGAUGUGAAGAGCAAGAACUUUUGAAAUAGGAUUACAACUGAAGGUUUCCAUCUUACAUUAGCUUCAGAAAACAAGAAAAUGCUAUCUUUUGUUUGGUUACAUAGUAACAGGAAGUCCUUAUUCAAGCUAGAACUUGCUGAUGUGAACAGUUUCAUAAGGGCUCUCCUUAAAAAGAUUUUGUACACCAAUUUUAAUUGGGAAAUAUACAUAUGAGUAUAUCUCAUGUGCAUAUCUUAAAGAAGAAUGAAAAAUGCCCAGGUACCCACUACAGUAGCUUAAGAAAAAAAAAAUGCCAGUAUUUUUGGAGUCUUCUAGAAAGGACUCUCUAAAAACAUCUCCUUUCUUCCGUUCACCAUUAUGCUGAAUUUUAUAUUACUCAUUCCGUUGUAUUUCUGAAAAUAGUUACAUAUGUACGAUUCCCUAAAAAUACUAUUUUCCUAGUUUUAUAUUUUAUAUGUGAAUCAUUCUUCAUUUUUCCCCCUUUUUUCACUAAUUUAGGUUUUGAGAGGUUUUGAGAUUCGUCUGUAUACAAGUACAUUUCCCAUAAACUAGACUGGCACAUCGUUACCCUUAUGCUAUUGUUAGACUUUUUAAGUUUUUACUGACAAGAGCAUCUGAUUGCUCUUUUAAUUUGCAUUUUCCCUUUUGCUAAAGCCUGUUCUUAAUUUUAUCUCAUUUUUUAUUAAAUUGCUUGCUUUUGAAAAUUAUUUUGUAGAUAAUAUUUAUUUUUUCUAGUUUAAUUCUCUCGUAAGUUACAUGUGUUGCAAAUGUCUUCUCUUAGUUUAUGGACUGUCUUUCCAGUUUUUAUGAUGUUUCUUGAUUGCCAAAAGCUUUAUGCUUCAGUAUACAGCUUUUUUAAUUUAAUAAUAUUUUACAUUUUAAUUUUGUGCUUUUUGCUUUCUUGCUUACAAGAUUCUUCCCAACAUAACAUCAGAAACUAUUCUUUCUUCUACAAGUUUAAAAGUUUAAUUGUAGCAACUUUAAACACAGAAAGAACAAAUAAUAAUAUAAUGAACACCCAUGCACUCAACUCUAUGUAUUAAAACAUUUUGCAAACCCGUCCUCCUAAUGAUUCUUGUCUAAAAUUGCCUUAACUAUACUUGGCUCUUUACUCUUUCAUUGAAAUUUUAGGAUGAGCCAGCCAAGAUCCAUUUAAAAAAUUGGAUUUCAAUUGGGCAUUUUAUUCAACUUGAGAAUUGCAUUUAGAGAUUUAGUGAAAUGUCUUCUUAUCUAUGAACAUGGUAUAUUUAUUUUAUUCAGGUACUUUAUGUGCUGCUAUGCUUUGUAAUUUAUUGAAUAUCUUUCAUUAUAUUGCCUCCUAGUUUUAUUACUAAAAUUAGAGAUCUCUCUCUUUAAACCCUAUUUUCUAAUUGUUUAGUAACAUUGUAUUAAAAGAGCAUCAAUUUCAAUAUAUUGGUACUAUCUCCAGAAGCUUUGCUGAAUUUUUUUGAUUGCUUGCUUUAUUUCCCUGUUACAUCUUUGGAUGACCUAAAUAGGUAAUCAUAUCAUUUGUAAAUAAGAAUAAUGGUUUCCUUCUUUCUCUCUUUUCAAACCACUUAUUAUUCAGUUUUUUCUUUUAUUUAUUAACAGAGCAUCCAGUGCAAUGUUUAAUGGAAGUAAUAAUGGCAUUCUUGUCCCGUUCCUCACUUUACUGCAGUACUGCUAACAUUUUAUAAUGAUAACAAUGUUUGCUGUGGGUUUUAGGUCGCUUAGAAACUAGUACUCUCAGAACAUGGAGUGGAAGAGGUGAUCAUGGUAGCAACAGACUGAGGAGUGAAUUUGCACUUGAGUUUUGUCUUGCUGUUUUUCAUUGACGGAACCCAACUGGAAAUCAGAAUACAAGGGCACUCGAUUAAUUCAGUUCACAGAGGACUUCUUCCUGUGGCACGGAGCAUGGUGGGGAAAGGUACAAAGUAGACCUCGAGAAACAAACAGCAUGGUGACCAGUCACAAAAUGUAUACAGAAAAUUAACAGAUUUUUUUUCCUUGAAGAGAUCAAAUCUAAGAAACAGUAUAAAAAUAAGAAUGUGCAGGAUCUAUAUAAAGAAAUCUAUACUCUACCAAGGUACCUGAAAAAAUACACAGAUAAAUGAAGGCUUAUGGCUUGAUUUUAGGUAUAAAAAGUUAAUGUUUAAAGACAUCCAUUUAUCCACCUGGAUAAACAUGGUCAUUAUUUUUUAAAUCAAAGUCCCAAGAGCUCCAUUUCACAACCUGAAACUAUUUAAAAUCAUGUUAGAAAAUUAAAUAGUAAGAAAAUACUAGAAAAAAUCAGAAGAAUGAGUAGAAUCAUAGAGCUACAAUAAUUAAAAUAGGAUGGUUUGGGGGGAAAGAUCAGUAAGUUAGAUCAAUGAAAUUGCAUAGAAAAGCAAGAAAUUGAUUAUUAUAUUUCUAUGGGCACGUGAAAACUGUGGCAUUUCUAAUCACAGGGGAACUUAUAGAUUAUACGAUAAAAGACAUUAGGCCUAUUGGAUAACUAGUUUAGAGAAAAGAAAAUUCAGUUAAGAUCUGACCUCAAGAAAAAAAGUAGAUAGAUUAAGUGUGUAUAUGUAAAAUCAAAAAAAUCAUGAAUAUAUAAAUAAAAUUUGAUAAGUGUUUCUAUAUUUCAGAUGUGGGUCUAUACGGUAAUUUUAUAAUAAAUCAAUUAAAAGAUAUACUAAAAUCAUUUUAACUGUGUGAAAACCAUUUUCACUCACUUAAUUUUUUAAAAUGGUGAAAUCCACUCAUAAACAGUAGCCAGAAAUCAAAGUCAGAAGGCUAAUAUGUAUUUAAAAAGCUAAAGGGUUAGCUUUAUGAGUGUCCAACCUAUGGAGUCACACAGGACCAUAGUUAAUAAUGGCCCCAUACUUGGUUUGAUAUUCUGCUGUCACAGUCUUGAAAUCCUUAACAAUUUUUGAACAAAGAGCCCUGGAUUUUCGUUUUGCACUCAGUCCUGCAAAUUAGGUAGCGAUCCUAGUUAACCUUACCAUAUACUGAGUGAAAUACAAAUUAAAACCUGAAUUUAAAAAUUGUUUUUAGGUUGAAAACAGUAAAAUAAAAACACUUAUUUUUUUCACUUGACAACAUCAAGAAUGCAGAAAAAGAAACACUCAUAUACCUUUAGUUCAACCAUUUGCAAAUACUCAAGAAUCAUAUAUCAAAAUUUAAAGUGAAUACUUUGUAUUGAGCAUUUUUUUCUACAGGAAUACAUCUACAGGAACUAAUUGAACCCAUACAUAAAAAUCAGGAUAUUUAUCACAGUAUUGCUAAUAAUAACAAAAAUAUGUGAACCAAUCUAAAUGUUCAUAAAAAUUGGUUAUAUAUUGAAGGAUACAUUUCUGUAGUUUCAUUUAUGCUUCAACCUGAAAUGUGAUAUAAAUAUACGUAUAAACACACACAUUUGAAAUGUAAAGAUGUACAGUAGAGUGAUAUGGAAAGAUACUCAUGAUUCAUUGUUACGUGGAAAGCCAACUAUGUAACAGCAAAGAUAGUGAAAUGCUACAGGUAGCUGUACAGAACUUUUUAUAUAUAGGUAUAAAAAUGUGUGGAAAGAAAAAGAUAUUUUUAUCCAGAAUUACAAGAACUUUUAUUUUCUUGUUACAAUUUUAGAUAGCCUUCCUUUUAACAAUGGGCUUUUAUUUCUAUUAAAAUAGAAAAAUAAAUCAGCUUGAACUAAUAAGAACUGGGUCAUUUAUGGCUGUGAUCAUUUAAAUAUUUAAAUAAAUAAUUUCCAAAAAUAGUUAUAUUUUUUAUAAAACAAAGGAAUUAAUGUAAAUAGUUUGGAAAGAAAAGUUAAAUAACUUUAAAAAGUUAUGUUGUUUCAAACAUGUCAAUUAUACAGCUAAAAAUUGGGGGGUGUAAGUAUAAGUAUACUAGUUUCCUAAUCUUAAAAAUCAGCAAUUACAUCUAUACUGCUUCAGCCCUGACACAGAUAGGUAGAAGAAUAGAGGUUUCAUUUUAUUUUUGCAAAGCAUAAAGGUAGUCAAAUUUACAAAGAUUUUGAGAAGCAUAGAAAAUAAUUUCAGAUGGUACAUGAUUAUGAGAUAGAAACGUGAGGUAGUAUGUCUUGAACUGGAGUUAAGAAUAGUACUUAAUGUGAAAAAUAAUUUAUACAGAUUCAAAUUCAAUUAAAAAGGAAACCAUAUCACACUUAAUGAACUGCAGAAAAUUUUAGUCUUUCAUCUAAAAUGAGAACACACAGAAUGUAGCUGAAUCCAGAUGAUGUAUUACAGUCAUUGAGUUAAUUCUCUAUGCUGAUUAAAAUAAAGACAUAAUCUCCCAUAAAUUGCUUCCUGAUAGUCCUUUAAGUUGUUUUACUCGAACAAGAUUUAAGAUGGAGAAAUAUAGCAGACAUCUAAAUGCAGGACCACCUGCAGGUUGAGUCUCAGAAGUCUGAUGAGUAGAGAUACUUCAGUCAGGUGUCUGAUGCAAAACAUCACAUUUCUAUCAUCAUUUUCAACUGGAAAGGGGCUUCUUGGAGGUAAUCUAGGACUAUAUGGUAGUCAGAUUGAAAAGUAACAUAAUACAAAUUUCAUCUGUAUAUUUGAACUAUUAAAAUUUACUUUAAAAAAUUAUUGGAUAUUUAGUCAUCUUGCCAAAAUCACUUAAAGUAUAUUAAGUUAUUUUAUGCACUCUUUGGAAACAUUUUUACCUAUGUAAUCAAAGUGGUAGAAUAAGAAACAUUAUAUAAAAAUUCAAAAGUUGAAUCCACUUUGUCUGUAUUCAUUAUAUUGACAGCUGGAUAAAAUAAAAUAAUUAAAGAACUUAUGCCUUUCAGAACAUUAACUAACAGUUUCUAACUGCUUCAGUUAUUCAAGAUAAGUUCUGGAUAUCUAUACAGCAUAGUGACCAUAAGUAGCAAUACUAUUUUAUUGUUAAAAUUUAUUAAGAUAGUAGGUCUUAUGUUAAUUCUUUCUAACACACAAACACACACAGAUUAAAAAAAAGGGAGUAGGAAGAAACUUUGGGAGGUGAUGGAUAUUUAUAACCUUGAAGAUGGUGAUGAGUCAUGGAUGUAUACUUACUCCUAAACUUAUGAAGUUGUAUAUGCUAAAUACGUACAACGUUUUACAUGUCAAUCAUAUGUCAAUAAAGUGGUUUAAAACAAAAACAGAAACAAAUCUACAUUAAUUGUAAAUGCUUAUAAGUUAUCAAAAGCAAUACUAAAUUAACGAGUGGUGAUUUGUGAAAAAUGUUUUUUUUAAUGAAGCUGACCCUAUACAUAGGUGGAUGCUUUAGUGAAAAAAAUUUGUUGAUGCUUGCGAAAACUUCAGACAAUAGGUGGCCAAAUGAAUAAAAAACAAAACUGCUGCUG
Gorilla gorilla gorilla (western lowland gorilla) is the source of this 5621-nucleotide long non-coding RNA. RefSeq lists it as uncharacterized. The transcript is spliced from 3 exons. The record is from RefSeq and is a predicted model, not a curated record. NCBI's taxonomy places the organism in Eukaryota, Metazoa, Chordata, Mammalia, Primates, Hominidae.